GAUGAACGCUGGCGGCGUGCCUAAUACAUGCAAGUCGAGCGAACAGACGAGGAGCUUGCUCCUCUGACGUUAGCGGCGGACGGGUGAGUAACACGUGGAUAACCUACCUAUAAGACUGGGAUAACUUCGGGACACCGGAGCUAAUACCGGAUAAUAUAUUGAACCGCAUGGUUCAAUAGUGAAAGACGGUUUUGCUGUCACUUAUAGAUGGAUCCGCGCCGCAUUAGCUAGUUGGUAAGGUAACGGCUUACCAAGGCAACGAUGCGUAGCCGACCUGAGAGGGUGAUCGGCCACACGGGAACUGAGACACGGUCCAUACUCCUACGGGAGGCAGCAGUAGGGAAUCUUCCGCAAUGGGCGAAAGCCUGACGGAGCAACGCCGCGUGAGUGAUGAAGGUCUUCGGAUCGUAAAACUCUGUUAUUAGGGAAGAACAAAUGUGUAAGUAACUAUGCACGUCUUGACGGUACCUAAUCAGAAAGCCACGGCUAACUACGUG
RNAcentral lists this ribosomal RNA (497 nucleotides) under uncultured bacterium. RNAcentral describes it as "partial 16S ribosomal RNA". It matches the Rfam family "Bacterial small subunit ribosomal RNA", at positions 28 to 507 of the family's 1533-position model. The record is from RNAcentral.